AUGGACAAAUCUAGGGGUUCUUCCUGCGAGGCGCUCUCGGGCAGCAAGCGGCGCCGCGAGGACUCCCCUGCCUCCGCAGUGGAUCUGGAGCUUGAGGCUUCGCUCCACUCCAAGCUGGAGUCGGAGCAGGCGGCGCGCGAGCAGGCUGCUCAUGCCCGCAAGGCCUGGGCUUCGGGUCCGGAGCGGGUGCAGCGCUCGGAGAGGGACGGUGCGACUGGAUACGGCCCGCAGGGCUCUGGAUCUGGUCCUUCUCCCUCUCCAGCGCUGGAUCCGUGGGAGGCGGCGGUGGCCUCCGGCGGUGGGGUGUCUUCAUCCUCUGCCUCCCUUCCCGUUCAGGGUGCGGGGCGUGGCUCGUCUGCCCCGUCGCGCCCCUUGCCUCCCCCGCCUCCUCGCUCGUUUGGGGCAGGAUCUGGCUUUCGUCCGCCGCCUCGGUCCAUCGCGGGGCCGGCGCGUCGGCCGCCUGGUCCGGCCUCGGGGGCGCCCCUCCCUCCGGGAAUGGGGGAUGGGAUUCUUCCUCCUCCCCCGUUGCCUCAGCAACCUCGUCCCUCCUCUACCUCCCACAGCAACCCAUCGGUGCUCACCUGCUUCGCUUGCCACAGGCCUGGGCACUUCCAGUCUCGCUGCACUAAUCCCCCCUUCUGCUUGAUCUGUCGCUCUGAUGGUCACCACACGCUCAACUGCAUGGCUAGGCAGAAACCUCCCGUGGUCCUCCAGUUCGGCUUGGGUCUCCCUGGAUGCGCCUUCUUCGCCUUCGAUGGUGACCUUCCUGUUCGGGAGGUGGCACCUGCGCUUUCCAAUGCAGCAAUUGUCUCGGUCAAGGACCAAAAGAUCUCGCCCCAAAUUCUUCUAGAAGGGCUUCGCAUCUGGGAUGUGGCUGGAUGGGACUGGCAAGUCGUGCAGAUGUCUUAUUUUGAUUUCUCUGUGGUGUUCCCCUCCAAAGAAUGCUUGCGAAUGAUUGCUUCUUGCACCAGCUUCACCUUGCCUCUCAAUCAACUCGUGGUUUCUGUUAAAGUGGCGUCUUACAAUGGUACUGCAGUUGGCCCUCUUUCUCAAGUGUGGGUGUUGAUCGAUGAUUUGCCUGCUGGUCUUCACUCGCCUGCUUUCCUCAUGUCCUUUGGGGUGUUGAUUGGGAAACCCAUUGAGGUGGAUGAGGAUUCUUUGAACAAGGUUGGUCCUGCUAGGAUGAAGACUGCUCCAACUGCUGUUGCUGAUCUGCCAAAGGUCCCGCCUUGCUCGGCUACCCCAGUGUUUGGUGCAUGCUCCAAUCUUCCUGCUCGCCCUCUUUCCCCCACUCGUUCGGGGAUUGAAGAUCUCCCGGUCUCUCCAGCUCGCGAUAUGGUGGAAUCCCAGCCUCUCACGAAGAAGAAAUCCUCAGUGCGCAAGUUCUCGGCUAAGAGCCGGAACUCGUCGGGCUCGAAGCAAUCCAUGAUGGGGAUUUGUCGGCGUCUUGAUCAAGAUUUGGGCUCCAUGUCCCGCUCGGGUCCCCAUGUUGGUUCUCCUGCUGCGCGGUCGCCUGCUAUCCGGUCUCCGGUGUCCACGGCCCGCAAAGGAAGGCGGGUGGCGCACUCUGGUGAGUCUAUCCUGGAAAGGGCGGAGAAGCGGGCUGCGGCAAAGGAUCUCCCUCCCCCAGGUACCUCCCCAGCCUCUUCUGUCGCUGUUUCUCCGGUUCGGGUGGUUUUACCUUCUAUGUCUGAUGAUCAUCUUUUAAAUAUUAUGUCGGAUGUGGGUGUGGUGGUUGACUCCUCUGUUGGUUCUCCUAGUUUGCUUCUUGCUAUUAUUCGGGCUAAUGAACUGGCUCAGGCAGCCAUUGCCAAAGCCAAAGAGACUGUUGCCUCGCGGGUCGAGGAUGCUGGUUGUGAUGCGGGGGUGGCUUCGGGUGCUGGUAGUGCCCAACCCCUUUCCAGCCUAUCCAAGAGGGGCACUAAUAAACAUGCUAAAUCCUGCAUGGCCCCUUGCAGGUCGAGCCUCCGUAUCAAGAAUCUUUCGUAUAAAUGA
This 1995-nucleotide ribosomal RNA is filed under the name Triticum aestivum (bread wheat). RNAcentral describes it as "partial small subunit ribosomal RNA". Lineage: Eukaryota; Viridiplantae; Streptophyta; Magnoliopsida; Poales; Poaceae. The record is from RNAcentral.